UGCAAAAGUUGAGUUCUUUAUAUAUGAGGUGCCUAAUUGUUAUGAGUUUUAAAUUGAAAGUCCUUAUGUGACAAUUAUUCCUUUAAUAAGUUAGUGAAUGGAUAUUUGUUUGGUAUUUUUGAAAUUUGGUUGAAAUAAAAAGGGUAAUUUUGUAAAUUAAUUAAAAUAACCUAAUAAGACAAAUGAUAAAAGCUAUCAUUUUUUUUCAUUCUUUCUUCUUCAACCGUGGGAAAGAACAGAAAAUAGCAGCCAUGGAUGAGCUCCAUUCGGCCAAGCUUUUAUGGCUUAUAUAGAGUUUCCAGGUUAGCUCGGGUUGGAGGCCAUCAGAGAUAUUAUCACCCUAUCGAGUUAACGUUAUCGGAGUAAGUAAACUCAAGUGAUUCGAGUCUAUGGCAUGUAUAGGGUUUUAAUGUGAGUAUGUAAUAUUAUGAUUUAGCCAAAGGCAUUGGCUUGUUAUUAAGGUAGUAUUAGUCAUGUAAAUUGGCCUAUGUCGGCUAAUGACAUUAUGGGCCCAUAUGAUUAUUCUUAUGCAUGUAUGUUAUUAUCUCUUGUGAUGUGGCUUACAACAUGUAUACCUAGAGAUUGAAUUGAGAUUCAUUGAUGAGCUAGUAACUAAUGCAGGAUUAAGUGAUUGGUAAAUAGUUAAUAA
Long non-coding RNA from Gossypium arboreum, 649 nucleotides. RefSeq lists it as uncharacterized. The transcript is spliced from 2 exons. Lineage: Eukaryota; Viridiplantae; Streptophyta; Magnoliopsida; Malvales; Malvaceae. The record is from RefSeq and is a predicted model, not a curated record.